ACGCUGGCGGCGUGCCUAAUACAUGCAAGUCGAACGAACCGCGACUAAGUGCUUGCACUUGGUCAAGGUGAGUGGCGAACGGGUGAGUAACACGUGGGUAACCUACCUCAUAGUGGGGGAUAACAGUCGGAAACGACUGCUAAUACCGCAUAGGACAUAGGAUCACAUGAUCCAGUGAGGAAAGGUGGCGCAAGCUAUCGCUAAGAGAUGGACCCGCGGUGCAUUAGCUAGUUGGUAGGGUAAAGGCCUACCAAGGCGAUGAUGCAUAGCCGACCUGAGAGGGUGAUCGGCCACAUUGGGACUGAGACACGGCCCAGACUCCUACGGGAGGCAGCAGUAGGGAAUCUUCCGCAAUGGACGCAAGUCUGACGGAGCAACGCCGCGUGAGUGAAGAAGGUCUUCGGAUCGUAAAGCUCUGUUGUUAGAGAAGAACAGCGCAUAGAGUAACUGUUAUGCGUGUGACGGUAUCUAACCAGAAAGCCACGGCUAACUACGUGCCAGCAGCCGCGGUAAUACGUAGGUGGCGAGCGUUGUCCGGAUUUAUUGGGCGUAAAGGGAGUGUAGGCGGUCUUUUAAGUCUGAUGUGAAAGCCCACGGCUCAACCGUGGAGGGUCAUUGGAAACUGGGAGACUUGAGUGCAGAAGAGGAGAGCGGAAUUCCAUGUGUAGCGGUGAAAUGCGUAGAUAUAUGGAGGAACACCAGUGGCGAAGGCGGCUCUCUGGUCUGUAACUGACGCUGAGGCUCGAAA
This 748-nucleotide ribosomal RNA is filed under the name uncultured Bacilli bacterium. RNAcentral's name for it is "bacterial SSU rRNA". It matches the Rfam family "Bacterial small subunit ribosomal RNA", at positions 33 to 758 of the family's 1533-position model. Lineage: Bacteria; Bacillati; Bacillota; Bacilli. The record is from RNAcentral.